Molecule: transfer RNA, 72 nt
Filed under: Caerostris darwini
Lineage: Eukaryota; Metazoa; Arthropoda; Arachnida; Araneae; Araneidae
Description: tRNA-Arg
Rfam family: tRNA
About the family: Transfer RNA (tRNA) molecules are approximately 80 nucleotides in length. Their secondary structure includes four short double-helical elements and three loops (D, anti-codon, and T loops).
Source: RNAcentral
GCGUCGGUGGUAUAACGGUUAGCAUAGCUGCCUUCGAAGCUGUUGACCAGGGUUCGACUCCCGGCCGACGCA